UUUCGAUUUCAAUUUUAAUUACGAACCGAACAUCCUCUGAUGAUUUGGGCUAAAUCUCGCUGUCACACUGAUUCCAAUCAUUUCUCUUUGUAUCUUGGUUUUAUUGAAAACAAGAAUAUGCAUACAUUGACGAGGGACUUGGCUUGGACUAAGGGUAUAAGCCUAACUUCAAAAAUUCAAUGGUAGUUCCAAAAUCAUUCCACGAAAGUAUAACUUUCUUCGAAAAUGGAAUAGACCCCGUAAUGUGCCAAGAAUACUGCUUUGCAUAUCCUUUAGUGUACCUCGAGCAAUCACCAAAUCAGG
This 303-nucleotide long non-coding RNA is filed under the name Elaeis guineensis (African oil palm). RNAcentral describes it as "long non-coding RNA (EGUI_LNC001500)". Lineage: Eukaryota; Viridiplantae; Streptophyta; Magnoliopsida; Arecales; Arecaceae. The record is from RNAcentral.